RNAcentral lists this small RNA (124 nucleotides) under Marmota monax (woodchuck). Lineage: Eukaryota; Metazoa; Chordata; Mammalia; Rodentia; Sciuridae. The record is from RNAcentral.
ACCAGGUGUGGUGGUGCACGCCUGUAAUCCAGUGGCUCAGGAGGCUGAGGCAGGAGGAUCACAAGUUCAAAGCCAGCCUCAGCAACAGCGAGGCACUAAGCAAUUCAGUGAGACCCUGUCUCUA